Long non-coding RNA from Pleuronectes platessa (European plaice), 465 nucleotides. RefSeq lists it as uncharacterized. The transcript has 2 exons. NCBI's taxonomy places the organism in Eukaryota, Metazoa, Chordata, Actinopteri, Pleuronectiformes, Pleuronectidae. The record is from RefSeq and is a predicted model, not a curated record.
UGUGAUGCUGCUCACAGGUUGUCCUUUGGAUCCUAGGUCUCCCUGUGGUCCUGGCAACCCCAUUCCACCUCUGAAGCCUUUCUUCCCAAGAGGUCCACUCUGGCCUCGGAGACCCCGCUCACCCUGGAUGAAUGAAUCAAUGAACAAAAGACAAGUGAGGACAACUCAUGGGGCAGCUAAGACUCCAUCAAUCCCUGGUGCACCCUCCUGUCCCUCUCGACCCACCACACCUCUGGGACCAGAAGGACCACCCAGACCCUGAAGAGAAGAGAGGCCUUAUCAGAGAUCUACACCAAGCGGGAUAAUUUUUCAUCCGUCUUCACAUACAAUUUUACUGUCCAUAUUGUUCUAUUUAUGACUUUUUUGAUUAAUCAUUUCCAAGUAUACUUGGCACGGAUACAAACAUUUUAAAAGUUAUGAGUUUAACACUGUAUGGAUGUGGAUGUAAAAAGAAUCAUUGUCCUA